AUAUUACUCCCUCCCGUCCCAAAAUUCUAGUCUUAAAUUUGUCUAGAUACGGAUGUGUCUAACACUAAAACGUAACUAGAUACAUCUGUAUUUAGACAAAUCUAAGACAAAAAAUUUAGGACGGAGGGAGUACAUC
This is a non-coding RNA of Triticum aestivum (bread wheat), 136 nucleotides long. Lineage: Eukaryota; Viridiplantae; Streptophyta; Magnoliopsida; Poales; Poaceae. The record is from Rfam.